RNAcentral lists this ribosomal RNA (717 nucleotides) under Myxococcus sp. 42-lmz-1. Its description in RNAcentral is "bacterial SSU rRNA". It matches the Rfam family "Bacterial small subunit ribosomal RNA", at positions 67 to 767 of the family's 1533-position model. Lineage: Bacteria; Pseudomonadati; Myxococcota; Myxococcia; Myxococcales; Myxococcaceae. The record is from RNAcentral.
CGAAUAGGGGCAACCCUUAGUAGAGCGGCGCACGGGUGCGUAACACGUGGAUAAUCUGCCUGGAUGCUCGGGAUAACCAGUCGAAAGAUUGGCUAAUACCGGAUAAGCCCACGGUUUCUUCGGAGACUGAGGGAAAAGGUGGCCUCUGUAUACAAGCUAUCACAACCAGAUGAGUCCGCGGCCCAUCAGCUAGUUGGCGGGGUAAUGGCCCACCAAGGCAACGACGGGUAGCUGGUCUGAGAGGACGAUCAGCCACACUGGAACUGAGACACGGUCCAGACUCCUACGGGAGGCAGCAGUGGGGAAUUUUGCGCAAUGGGCGAAAGCCUGACGCAGCAACGCCGCGUGUGUGAUGAAGGUCUUCGGAUUGUAAAGCACUUUCGACCGGGACGAAAACCCGUAGCCCAACACGCUACGGCUUGACGGUACCGGGAGAAGAAGCACCGGCUAACUCUGUGCCAGCAGCCGCGGUAAUACAGAGGGUGCAAGCGUUGUUCGGAAUUAUUGGGCGUAAAGCGCGUGUAGGCGGCGUGACAAGUCGGGUGUGAAAGCCCUCAGCUCAACUGAGGAAGUGCGCCCGAAACUGUCGUGCUUGAGUGCCGGAGAGGGUGGCGGAAUUCCCCAAGUAGAGGUGAAAUUCGUAGAUAUGGGAGGAACACCGGUGGCGAAGGCGGCCACCUGGACGGUAACUGACGCUGAGACGCGAAAGCGUGGGGA